This 486-nucleotide ribosomal RNA is filed under the name uncultured bacterium. RNAcentral describes it as "partial 16S ribosomal RNA". It matches the Rfam family "Bacterial small subunit ribosomal RNA", at positions 30 to 507 of the family's 1533-position model. The record is from RNAcentral.
AUUGAACGCUGGCGGCAUGCCUUACACAUGCAAGUCGAACGGCAGCACGGGUGCUUGCCCCUGGUGGCGAGUGGCGAACGGGUGAGUAAUACAUCGGAACAUGUCCUGUAGUGGGGAAUAGCCCGGCGAAAGCCGGAUUAAUACCGCAUACGAUCUACGGAUGAAAGCGGGGGACCUUCGGGCCUCGCGCUAUAGGGUUGGCCGAUGGCUGAUUAGCUAGUUGGUGGGGUAAAGGCCUACCAAGGCGACGAUCAGUAGCUGGUCUGAGAGGACGACCAGCCACACUGGGACUGAGACACGGCCCAGACUCCUACGGGAGGCAGCAGUGGGGAAUUUUGGACAAUGGGCGAAAGCCUGAUCCAGCAAUGCCGCGUGUGUGAAGAAGGCCUUCGGGUUGUAAAGCACUUUUGUCCGGAAAGAAAUCCUUGGCCCUAAUACGGUCGGGGGAUGACGGUACCGGAAGAAUAAGCACCGGCUAACUACGUG